This 69-nucleotide transfer RNA is filed under the name Salvia splendens (bonfire salvia). Its description in RNAcentral is "tRNA-Thr". Lineage: Eukaryota; Viridiplantae; Streptophyta; Magnoliopsida; Lamiales; Lamiaceae. The record is from RNAcentral.
GGGUCGUAGCGCAGUUGGCAGUGCGGAACUGUGGUGACAUUGAGGUCACGGGUUCAAACCCGUCACCCG